This 253-nucleotide ribosomal RNA is filed under the name uncultured bacterium. RNAcentral's name for it is "partial 16S ribosomal RNA". It matches the Rfam family "Bacterial small subunit ribosomal RNA", at positions 524 to 776 of the family's 1533-position model. The record is from RNAcentral.
UACGUAGGUGGCGAGCGUUGUCCGGAAUUACUGGGCGUAAAGGGCGUGUAGGCGGCUUUUUAAGUCAGACGUGAAAUCCCUGGGCUUAACCCAGGACCUGCGUUUGAAACUGGAAGGCUUGAGGAUCGGAGAGGGCAGUGGAAUUCCCAGUGUAGCGGUGAAAUGCGUAGAUAUUGGGAGGAACACCAGUGGCGAAGGCGACUGCCUGGACGACACCUGACGCUGAGGCGCGAAAGCUAGGGGAGCAAACGGG